CUCUCCUCUUCUGCCUUCUCUUUUCCUAACACUCUAGGCAUGGAGUACUAUUCCUCCAUCUCCUGGGCGUCACGCCUCUCUCCUCCACCCUGGCUGACCACUGCAGUGCAUCCACGAGCUUUUGCAAGCAAUGGUUAAACAGGAAGAAGUGACCUGCAGGGUGGAACGCCUAUCAGCAAGCUGAAGAUAGAUCAAUGAAGGGGGGCCAUUGAAGAAGGAGAGCUGUGUGCUGCUCUACAGUCAGAGAGAUAGGGUGGGAUUUCACAGACUAGCAGCACAUGCUCUCACCACGCUGAGAGCUGAAAGACGUAUAGUACACGUGUGUGCUUGCAGUAGAAGGCCCUGACGUUCUUGGGACUGUCGCUUUUGAGGAAAAGGCAAGACAAUAUGACGACAGAGGGGGGUCCCAGGCCACAUCCACUGCCAGAGAAGCUGUUCCACUUUUCCAAUUGUUUUUUUUCCUCUCGCCCUCUGCCCCCGGUGGGAAAGUAUUUAGGACUUUAGGUCUGUGACAAAUAAAAAUGUCAUCCCUGCUCAAGUCUGCCGCGAUUGUUUGUGGGCAAACCGGUGCUCGGAGGUCUUGAGAUGUUGCCGUACAGUGAGAGGAGAUGCUGGGAAUGGCUCCGUCCCCUUCACACGCCACCUUUGGUCAAGCCUAAGUUCUGGAACACCGCUGGCCUUUCCUUAACAAUGCCACUCGCCACAUAGGGGGUCCCCUCGAACCCAGAGCUCAAACAAAUUCACAUAGAAACACCAUUGUACAGUAAAAGCCUUUUCAAUACGACCACCAACUGACACAGCUCGUCUCAGUUUAAGGGGGGAGGAAAGUGACUCAAAAACAAGUAACAAUGAAAAAGAAAUGUGUAUGAGUCAGAACUGUGUAAAUCUGAGAUACUGGAAAAACAAAAACAAAUUCAUGUGUUUUUAUACUAAAACAACUGCGCUAUAUAGCGAUAUUUGUAAAGCAUUCACCACUUGGGAGUUAAUGGGAGGGGCACGUUUUUGUUUUGAAACAACCGAUUUUUAAAUACAACGUGAUACAG
Long non-coding RNA from Labeo rohita (rohu), 1043 nucleotides. RefSeq lists it as uncharacterized. The transcript has 3 exons. The record is from RefSeq and is a predicted model, not a curated record. NCBI's taxonomy places the organism in Eukaryota, Metazoa, Chordata, Actinopteri, Cypriniformes, Cyprinidae.